RNAcentral lists this ribosomal RNA (779 nucleotides) under uncultured Neocallimastigales. RNAcentral describes it as "partial large subunit ribosomal RNA". It matches the Rfam family "Eukaryotic large subunit ribosomal RNA", at positions 24 to 614 of the family's 3401-position model. The record is from RNAcentral. Lineage: Eukaryota; Fungi; Neocallimastigomycota; Neocallimastigomycetes; Neocallimastigales.
UAUGUGAUCGUCUCUUCGCAUAUCAAUAAGCGGAGGAAAAGAAACUAACAAGGAUUCCCCUAGUAACGGCGAGUGAAGCGGGAAGAGCUCAAAUUUGAAAUCUUAAAGGGUUUCCCUUUACGAAUUGUAGUUUAAGGAAGUGUUUUCUGUUGAGGUUUUGGUAAAAGUUCUUUGGAAUAGGACAUCAUAGAGGGUGAGAAUCCCGUAUUUGACCUUUACUUUCAACUUUGUGAUACACUUUCAAAGAGUCGGAUUGUUUGGGAAUGCAGUCCAAAAUGGGUGGUAAAUUUCAUCUAAAGCUAAAUAUUGGCGAGAGACCGAUAGCGAACAAGUACCGUGAGGGAAAGAUGAAAAGAACUUUGAAAAGAGAGUUAAACAGUACGUGAAAUUGUCAAAAGGGAAGCGUUUGACACCAGUGUUGUUUUUUCUGAAAAUCAAUUAAAGAACUGUUUAUGCUAAGUUGUUUAGACUUUAUCAGCUAACUGUUUAGCUUUUGAGCUUUUCUUUAAUGCACUUUUCAGUUAACAAGUCAACAGUCAAUUUCUUUUGCUGUAAAAAAGCUUGAGGAAGGUGGCUUGAGAUUCGUCUUAAGUGUUUAUAGCCUCUUGCCUAAUGCAGUCGGAGAAAUUGAGGUCUGCAGCGUAGAUCCUUCGGGGCUAAAUGCAUUUGUGCUAAGUUAUAGCAUUUUAUAGACAACUUGUUGACUAUGAUUUGUCUUGUAGCUUACUCGCUUAUGUUAUUUUACCUACGCUUAGGAUGUUGAACGCGCACAGAGUCUC